RNAcentral lists this ribosomal RNA (422 nucleotides) under uncultured bacterium. RNAcentral's name for it is "bacterial SSU rRNA". It matches the Rfam family "Bacterial small subunit ribosomal RNA", at positions 355 to 774 of the family's 1533-position model. The record is from RNAcentral.
UGAGGAAUAUUGGUCAAUGGGUGCAAGCCUGAACCAGCCAUCCCGCGUGAAGGACGACUGCCCUAUGGGUUGUAAACUUCUUUUGUAUAGGGAUAAACCUACCCUCGUGAGGGUAGCUGAAGGUACUAUACGAAUAAGCACCGGCUAACUCCGUGCCAGCAGCCGCGGUAAUACGGAGGGUGCGAGCGUUAUCCGGAUUUAUUGGGUUUAAAGGGUCCGUAGGCGGACUUAUAAGUCAGUGGUGAAAGCCUGUCGCUUAACGAUAGAACUGCCAUUGAUACUGUAAGUCUUGAGUAUAUUUGAGGUAGCUGGAAUAAGUAGUGUAGCGGUGAAAUGCAUAGAUAUUACUUAGAACACCAAUUGCGAAGGCAGGUUACCAAGAUAUAACUGACGCUGAGGGACGAAAGCGUGGUGAGCGAACA